This 255-nucleotide ribosomal RNA is filed under the name uncultured bacterium. Its description in RNAcentral is "partial 16S ribosomal RNA". It matches the Rfam family "Bacterial small subunit ribosomal RNA", at positions 99 to 354 of the family's 1533-position model. The record is from RNAcentral.
CGGACGGGUGAGUAACACGUGGGUAAUCUGCCUUAUACAGGGGGAUAACAGUUAGAAAUGACUGCUAAUACCGCAUAAGCGCACGGGGACGCAUGUUUCUGUGUGAAAAACUCCGGUAGUAUAAGAUGAGCCUGCGUCUGAUUAGCUGGUUGGUGGGGUAACGGCCUACCAAGGCGACGAUCAGUAGCCGGCCUGAGAGGGUGAACGGCCACAUUGGGACUGAGACACGGCCCAAACUCCUACGGAAGGCAGCAG